GAUGAACGCUGACAGAAUGCUUAACACAUGCAAGUCUUUGGCGAAGCUGUGCUUGCACAGCCUAGCCAAGGCGGACGGGUGAGUAACGCGUAAGGAACUUGCCCUGCAGUCAGGGAUAACAGACGGAAACGACUGAUAAGACCUGGUAAAGUCAGGCGGACUCAUGUCCAGCCUGAUGAAAAGAGAUGCUGCAGGAGAGCCUUGCGUCCUAUUAGCUUGUUGGUGGGGUAACGGCCCACCAAGGCGAUGAUAGGUAGCCGGCCUGAGAGGGUGGACGGCCACAAGGGGACUGAGACACGGCCCUUACUCCUACGGGAGGCAGCAGGGGGGAAUAUUGGACAAUGGGGGCAACCCUGAUCCAGCAAUUCUGUGUGCACGAUGAAGGUUUUCGGAUUGUAAAGUGCUUUCAGCAGGGAAGAAAAAAAUGACGGUACCUGCAGAAGAAGCGACGGCUAAAUACGUG
Molecule: ribosomal RNA, 463 nt
Filed under: uncultured bacterium
Lineage: Bacteria
Description: partial 16S ribosomal RNA
Rfam family: Bacterial small subunit ribosomal RNA
Source: RNAcentral